This is a long non-coding RNA of Sander lucioperca (pikeperch), 225 nucleotides long. RefSeq lists it as uncharacterized. The transcript is spliced from 3 exons. The record is from RefSeq and is a predicted model, not a curated record. NCBI's taxonomy places the organism in Eukaryota, Metazoa, Chordata, Actinopteri, Perciformes, Percidae.
CACACACACACACACACACACACACACACACGGCUCCAGACUAACUUUUUGCCUUGGUUGCACUGGUGCACCUAACUUUUUUAUUUAAGUGCACGAGCACAAAAUUUAGGUGGACCCAAAUUUUUCCUCGCGUCGCUGUUAACGCUGAAUGGGGAUACACGAUAUAUAGCUCUGUAUUUUUUUACCAAGUGGGCUAAAUGACGCCCGGAUAGCUCAGUUGGUAUA